Molecule: long non-coding RNA, 931 nt
Filed under: Lupinus angustifolius (narrow-leaved blue lupine)
Lineage: Eukaryota; Viridiplantae; Streptophyta; Magnoliopsida; Fabales; Fabaceae
Description: long non-coding RNA (LANG_LNC003028)
Source: RNAcentral
AGGUACGUGAAUAAAGGGGAAGGGGAUUGGUUUUUUAUUUUUUUAUUUUAUCAGAUUGGGGAUUUUGGGUUAAUUAGGGUAGAGAGGUGGUUCUCUCCUCCAUUUGAGCCGCCACCUCUCUUGGUGAUGCGGAUGCCGCUGGAUGAGGGGACGACGAAGAUGGCAGAAGGAGCGGCGUCCCUUACGGUGGUGGUCACGACUUUAUGAUAUCGAAUCCAUCUGACUGCAAGGUCGUGCGUCUCUGCCUAAAUGUAGCUUGGCCAUGGAGGUGAAGCCUCUGUGGCUUCAACGGCGGGGUGAGGAGGAUGGCUCCUUGAACCACCGUCUUUCCUUCUUCUUCUCCGGUUGACACGCCGACAUGAUUUUUUGAUGUAACGCCCUGUUUUCGCGGUGGUUAGGGGUGCUGGAACAGGUUGAUUUCUCUGUAUUCUUCUUCAUCUUCUCCGGUUGUCAUCGGCGCGGUUUCAGUGGUCUCACGGUGGUUAUAUAUUCAGGGGUCUCUUUUUUUUUCUUCCAGGUUUACUAGAUGGGAUAAUGAUGGAUAUUAUAUGAGUGUUUUAGUUGAUAAAUUAAAGAGUGAACACUAUUUCUGAGUUAACUCACUGAUUGAUAAUUCGAGAUUGCUUAUACUUAAUUAUUGGUAUGAUUGCGAUUAUGCUUUAAGGAUUAACACGAUGUUGUUUAAUUUGAUUUGCUGUUUUGUGUUUGUUCAUUACAAGGAAAGUAAGUGUUCAUGAAAUUUUAAUGUUUAUAAUUUGUAGAUAUACAUAUGUUUGUACUGUUACUGGAAUUAGUUAUGUGAAGGUUUGAUAAGGGUUUGAAGCAAAAACAUUGGUUAUAGAUUGGGGAUUCAGAGAAGAAAAAAAAAUCAGUCACUGGUUAAGAAUUGUGCACAUGUAUUUGUGUUGUUUUGGUUGUUGAUGAAGGGAGG